This 279-nucleotide unclassified non-coding RNA is filed under the name plant metagenome. RNAcentral's name for it is "partial contains small subunit ribosomal RNA, internal transcribed spacer 1, and 5.8S ribosomal RNA". The record is from RNAcentral.
UUUCCGUAGGAGAACCUGCGGAAGGAUCAUUAAUGUGUUUGGGCCUCACGGCUCUUCAUUCCGACGCUGUGCGCUUUCGGGCUGCACGCGGAGGGAGCAUAUAUCCACCCCUGUGCACACACACGGUGGCGAGCUGGCUAACGGCUCGCCGCUGAUCUUUACACACGUCUAAAAGUCAUUGUAUGUUUAUUUGAGAUAAAAACACAACUUUCAGCAACGGAUCUAUUGGCUCUCGCACCGAUGAAGAACGCAGCAGAUCGGAAGUGCACACAUCUGUAC